AAAGGCUUGUUUAUUCUACAUGGAGCUGUUACUACAAUUGAAAGUUAUCAAAACACUUAGUUUAGAAUAUCUACAUAAAUUCAACAAUUGCAUUCUUCUCAUAUUACUCUGUAGACUACUGACCUAGUCAAAGCUUCCUCUGGCAUCUCACCAUACAUCUGCCUGUAGUUAUUGAACUGAAUCUACAGGAGGUUUGUUUGUUGUGAAUGAGUGGGGAGGAAACAGCUGCAGGCAAGGUUCUGACAGAUGGGUGUGUCUUGGUGGUGGCAAGGACGUCAAACCACACCCCCAAGCCAACUCACGUUUGGCUUCUGUCAUAGCCACCAGUAUUUCUUCCAGCUGCUUCGUUAGUUUAUUAUCUAGCUGCAUUGUAUCCAGAUCUCCAGGGCCGGCAGUAGCCUUUUGGGGGCCCCACUACCUCACUGCAAAAUAUUUUAGUGCCCCCCCCUCCUGACGUUGGAGAGAAAAAAACAUCUGUUUUAAAGUUUAUUUCCUGCAAUUCUGUGAACUGUCUUGUGCAAGUUUGAAAUUUCCAUAAUACCUGUUAUGUACCUGGUGUCAGCUAGAGAUGACGUGCAGGAACAUGUAUUUGUAGUUUUUCACGAUCUCUACUUUGAUGCUAAUUAGUGUUUUCAAAUCUGAGAGUAAAUAGAGCCAAAUAUAUUGAUAAAAGUAAUCUUGUCCAAGAGAGAUUUACAGGUUAAUAAAAUGUCACGCCAGGGUAAGCCUACAUGAAACACAGACCUUAUUUUAAGUGUUUCUAACUAUCCCCAAUGGGAAGAAUGAAUGGUGGAAAAUAGACUGGAACCAUUUCUCUGUUUCACCGCUAGGUUGUAUGGGUAUUAUCACACCUCCAAUGUGGGGCUCUAUACACAGCAUAUACAGUUGAAGUCAUAAGUUUACAUACACUCAGGUUGGAGUCAAUAAAAAUUAUUUUUCAACCACUCCACAAAUUUCUUCUUAACAAACUAUAGUUUUGGUAAGUCGGUUAGGACAUCUACUUUGUGCAUGACAAGUAAUUUGUCCUAUUGUUUCCAAACAGAUUAUUUCACUUAUAAUUCACUGUAUCACAAUUCCAGUGGAUCAGAAGUUUACAUACACUAAGUUGACUGUGCCUUUAAACAGCUUGGAAAAUUCCAGAAAAUGAUGUCAUGGCUUUAAAAGCUUCUGAUAGGCAUCAGAGUGUGGAGUGUCCACCACAAAGCCCUGAUCUGGAGUGGAGUGCCAAUCACAAAGCCCUGACCUGGAGUGUCCAUCACAAAGCCCUGACCUGGAGUGGAGUGUCCAUCACAAAGCCCUGACCUGGAGUGGAGUGUCCAUCACAAAGCCUUGACCUGGAGUGGAGUGUCCAUCACAAAGCCCUGAUCUGGAGUGGAGUGUCCAUCACAAAGCCUUGACCUGGAGUGGAGUGUCCAUCACAAAGCCUUGACCUGGAGUGUCCAUCACAAAGCCCUGACCUGGAGUCGAGUGUCCAUCACAAAGCCCUGACCUGGAGUGGAGUGUCCAUCACAAAGCCCUGACCUGGAGUGGAGUGUCCAUCACAAAGCCCUGACCUCAAUCCUAUAGAACAUUUGUGGGCAGAGCUGAAAGUGUACAAGCAAGGAGGCCUUGCAAACUUGACUCGGUUACACCAGCUCUGUCAGGAGGAAUGGGCCAAAAUUCACCCAAUUUAUUGUGGGAAGCUUGUGGAAGGCUAACCAAAAUGUUUGACCCAAGUUAAACAAUUUAAAGGCAAUGCUACCAAAUACUAAUUGAGUGUAUGUAAACUUCUGACCCACAUUCUCUCUACUAUUAUUCUGACAUUUCAUGUUCUUAAAAUAAAGUGAUUUUUACUAGGAUUAAAUGUCAGGAAUUGUGAAAAACUAAGUUUAGAUGUAUUUGGCUAAGGUGUAUGUAAACUUAGUUUUAGUAACGUACUGAGCUGAUGGAGGAAUUUAGUAACGUACUGGAGGAUGAAAGACGACACCUGGGCUGUUUUAUGCGACAUAUUUAAAUGAUUGACAUGAAAGAGGAGAGGGACACAAAUCAGAUGAAGGCUGCUGGGAAAAACUUCAAAGCGAAAGCCAAAAAUAAUGCAGCAGAUGAGAGGCGGAAGAUAUUUCAGACCACAGUCUCUCUCUCAGGACAUAUGUGAUGAUACCCGAACAGUUAACCCUAUGAUGACAACGGACAACUAGUCCCACCAAUAUUUAGUAAGCAUAAAUAACUGGUUAACAUCAAUGACUACAAUGCAUGUCAAAACUACCCAGUGGUGUAAAGUACUUAAGUUAAAAUAUAUUAAAGUACUACUUAAGUCAGUUUUUUGGGUAUCUGUACUUUACUAUUUAUAUAUUGGACAACUUUUAUUUUUACUUCACUACAUUCCUAAAGAAAAGACUUAAACAACAUUUUACUCCAUACAUUUUCUUGAAUACUUAGCAGGACAGGAACCUGGUCCAAUUCGGGCACUUAUCGAGAGAACAUCCCCUGGUCAUCCCCACUGCAUCUGAUCUGGCAGACUCACUAAACACAAAUGUUUCAUUUGUAAAUGAUGUCUGAGUGUUGGAGUGUGACACUGGCAAACUGUCAAUGUAUGUAUGUAAUAAAACCGUGCCAUCUGGAUUUCUUAAUGUAAGGAACAUUAAAUAAUUCAUACUUUUACUUUUGAUACUUAAGAACAUUUAAAACCAAAUACUUUUGACUUUUUACUCAAGUAGUAUUUUACUGGCUGACUUUUACUGGAGUUAUUUUCUAUUAAGAUAUCAUUACUUUUACAACAGUGUGAAAUGACUUUUUCCACCACUGAAACUAACGCUAAUAGUAUUUCACUAGAAUGUUACUGUUCUCAGUCCCGUUACAGCAUGUUGCAUAACGUCAUCAUUCUACCAAGGUGUAUCACAAGCUCUAAUUCAAUUACAAAAUGGGAAGGUAAGUUCUAAUAAGGAGUUGAUUCUCUUCAGUUGAGCCGACACCCUGUUGUCGUAGAGAAACAGCAAUGCCUGGAUCUUGAACUAGCCGGGCCAAUCGAACGCCCCCAGAACCCAAGACUAAAACAGCUCAUAUUGAUGUUUUGGCGCAGGAGGGAGAGAAAAAUAUUCCGCAGACUGAGAUUCUGAGUUUACAAAAAAGAGCUACUGCGAAUUCAGAAACAGAAACGCCUUCAGGGGAACAAAUGUGGAAAGAAUGCUAAUCUUGUUAUUUAUUAAAACAAUGCUUUCCCUAGCAAUGUGGUGCCCCCACUCAUGUUCUGGUGCUUCCAGUUCCCCCCUUUAUGAUCGAGAAUAACAAAUGACUUAAUAAUGCAUUUUAAUACAGAUAGUCUUAUUAAGAAUUGCACGUCAGUCAAAAUAUAAUAUUGCUUUUUACAUGUUACACUAUACACACACAUGUUAGGCUGCAAAAAUGGUUCUCAAUCAAAGUUCUCCUCAUCGCAUUCACAUCAACAGCAUGUUGCACCUGGCCAUCUUCUCCAUUCUCCUCAUCCUCCUCAGGUAGGUCCUCCUCAGCCUCCUCAGGUAGCUUGUCUCCUUGUCUCUUGCUAAAGUUAUACAGAACUUCCACUGCAAUAGUGAUUGUCAGUGUAGUGUCCAUCUUCAUGCAGAGCACCACCUGUAGGGGAGGGAAUCUUUUCUUCCAUACUACAAAAACUCUAUGAGAUCUCUUGUCAGGAUAUGAGAGGUGGUGUGUUCUCUCUCUAUGAGAUCUCUUGUCAGGAUAUGAGAGGUGGUGCAUUCUCUCUCUAUGAGAUCUCUUGUCAGGAUAUGAGGUGGUGGAUUGUCUCUCUUCAGGUGUCUGGGGGUUUAAAAGGGGAGUCAUAAGGUUCCCAUGACAAGAAUAUCCAUUGUUACGUAGUAGGGGGCCUUCAUAUGCUCCCCGUUCCAGCAUUGCACACAGACGACUAUUGUCAAAGUAUCUGCUGUCAUGGGUGGAUCCUGGCCGUCUUGCUAGGAUGUUGGUGAGCUGACCUUUGACAUCACAGACAGCCUGCAUGUUGACGGAGCAGUAACCUUUCUGAUUACAGAAUAGUUCUCCAUUCCCACCACCAGGGUUCGGAAUAGGAAUGUGUGUCCAGUCUAUUGCCCAUAGUACACACGGGAAUCUAGCUUUCAUCUCAAAAUCCAGCUGCUGUUUCCUCUGUAGGACUGAACCUGAUGUACUCGUUCUUCAGGCCGGCAAAAGCACUGGACACUACAAUCCUGUAGACGGUUGACUUGUGGAGUCCAGAAAGGUCCACAUCCAUCCACCAUCUGGAAACAUCCAGUUACAUAGAACCGUAGAGUCAUCAGGAGCUGAAGUAGUAGGGGUACAUCCUCGUUACCGUCGUUCCCACGCUUGGUCCAACCUUUCUUUCCAGUUGCAUUACAGAUUCCUUGGAGAAGCGGCAUCUCCUUGAAAACUCAUCAUUAUAAAAAAAACUCAACAGGAUACAACCUGUCUCGUAAUGUUCUCUGAGGAACUCUGUCGUUCUGGUCUCUCCACAGUCGAUAUCCUGUCAUUUUAUCAGUUCAACCACAUCAAAUGGCAGUUCAGAAUCUCCAAUCUAAGUUUAUAUUCAAGCUUAAAAUGACUCUAGGUUUAAAGUGAAAACUAAAACUUAUGAUUAGAAGAAGGAUUCAUUUUAACUAGGAUUCAUUUAAAAAUAGAUUUAAAGUUUGGUGCAACAAGAUGAAGAUGAAACUGGGUUAAAUGAAGGCUUAAGAGUUCCUCCAUGUUGGUGCAACCCACCCUGUAUAUUGGGUUUUCCUAGAUUUAGGCAGAUCCCUGUAUUUGGCAUGACAAUGAGAGGUAGUUGCAUGACGGCACCAACAAACUGGCCCUCAGGUCAGCUGUAUUAGAGGUGAUAUCACUCAGGUCAGCUGUAUUAGAGGUGAUAUCACUCAGGUCAGCUGUAUUAGAGGUGAUAUCACUCAGGUCAGCUGUAUUAGAGGUGAUAUCACUCAGGUUAGCUGUAUUAGAGGUGAUAUCACUCAGGUUAGCUGUAUUAGAAGUGAUAUCACUCAGGUUAGCUGUAUUAGAGGUGAUAUCACUCAGGUUAGCUGUAUUAGAGGUGAUAUCACUCAGGUUAGCUGUAUUAGAAGUGAUAUCACUCAGGUUAGCUGUAUUAGAGGUGAUAUCACUCAGGUUAGCUGUAUUAGAGGUGAUAUCACCCAGGUUAGCUGUAUUAGAGGUGAUAUCACUCAGGUUAGCUGUAUUAGAGGUGAUAUCACUCAGGUCAGCUGUAUUAGAGGUGAUAUCACUCAGGUCAGCUGUAUUAGAGUUGCCCAUCAAUUGCAUUAAUGCCAUCAAUACACCUCCUGUAAGCAAUUCAGGCCAUCUAUAGACCAUAACUGUAGAUUGACCAUAGGCAAGGGAGUGUCUCUCGAUCUUUGUCCAGGACAGAGUGUGUUAACCUGAAUGUCUGACAUUAAAACAUCUGGAAUGUACACACUUUAUGAUCAGUCGUGUUUGACAACGACAGACUUUGGGGUGGAAUCUGGCCAAAGCGAGAGUUUGGUAAAACAGGUCACCAAGCUUUCAGUUAAUGGAUCAACAUACUUGGCAACAGAAAGUUAAAAUUAUGAACAGGUCUAUGUCCCCAAUGGAACCCUAUUCCCUUUGUAGUGCACUACUUUAGACCAGGACCCAAUGGAAGCCUAUUCCCUUUGUAGUGCACUACUUUAGACCAGGACCAAUUUGGGACACAGGCCAGGUCUUGGCAGACUAACGACUUGGUUGGCCCCCUUUGGUCUGGCUCAACAACAGAAUACAGACAGUAACAAAUAUCUAAGUCGUGUGGUCACAAUGAAGGCCCAAAAGACCUGGGUAAAAGCUGUUCAGCCGUUUAGUCAAACCCUUCUUCCUAUUGUGAUGGUAAUGUGUUUAUAAUGAUAGUUAAGAAGUUUAGUCAGAGAGAGGGGGGAUACAGAGAGCUUCUGCAGGUAAGUCCUUCACAUCAUCAUACAUUAAAGUCUUUAAAUAGUUCAUGUGGUGUCAACACUUAACAGAAUAGAAAACAAAUAACUAACAACCAAUAAGAGUCUUGCAAUGAAUCUGCCCUCUGUUCCGACCUGUCUCCAUGGCAACACCCUGGUCAGUUAUAGUAGGUCCAAUUGUCCAUCUCCUGGCCACCCCUGGGCUGGGCUCCACACUGCAGCCCCCUCUCCUCUGGUCUCUAGCCCCAGUCCUCUCCUCCUGUCUCCAGCUCCUCUUCUGCUAGCUCCGGCCCUUCUCCUCUCCUCCUGUCUCCAGCCCCUCUCCUCUCCUCCUGUCUCCAGCCACUCUCCUCUCCUCCUGUCUCCAGCCCCUCUCCUCUCCUCCUGUCUCCAGCCCUCUCCUCUCCUCCUGUCUCCAGCCACUCUCCUCUCCUCCUGUCUCCAGCCACUCUCCUCUCCUCCUGUCUCCAGCCACUCUCCUCUCCUCCUGUCUCCAGCCCCUCUCCUCUCCUCCUGUCUCCAGCCCCUCUCCUCUCCUCCUGUCUCCAGCCCCUCUCCUCUCCUCCUGUCUCCAGCCCCUCUCCUCUC
Oncorhynchus tshawytscha (Chinook salmon) is the source of this 6479-nucleotide long non-coding RNA. NCBI's taxonomy places the organism in Eukaryota, Metazoa, Chordata, Actinopteri, Salmoniformes, Salmonidae. The record is from Ensembl.